This 650-nucleotide long non-coding RNA is filed under the name Homo sapiens (human). RNAcentral's name for it is "non-protein coding lnc-NUP62-1:15". The record is from RNAcentral. Lineage: Eukaryota; Metazoa; Chordata; Mammalia; Primates; Hominidae.
ACUACUUCUGCGCCUGCGCGACCGUGAUUCCCCGCUCGCGACUCCCCACCCCCCAGGGCUCCCUAAAGAGGGCCACGAGCUGCGAAAGGGCGGGAAAGGCAGUUGGAGAAGAGGUAAGCGGUUACUCACUCCAUGGCUGCAGCAAGGAGAGGCGGCGGCGGCCUCGGCUGAAGAAAGAAGGGGGCAGGCGGUUAGCUGGCGGUGCAGGGCCUCGGCGCGGGUCAGCACGUCCUCCACGCUCAGCUUCAUAGUCAGCUCGUUGAUGUGCUGCGGGAGGGGGUGGGUCAGGCGCCAGUCGGCACUCAACCACCUCCGCCCGAGCGCCCACUCUGUGCUUCGUGCUUGAGGAUCUCAUUGGAGCCGAAGCCGGACAGCAUGAGGGUGUCCCUCUCCAUGUCCAGGAUGGCGCAGGCCACCAGCAGGUGCAGAUUGGGGCCAGGGAGCCCUGUCCACAGCACCUCCCACAGCCGAAGGACAUCCGGGAAGGGGAAUUCCCUCUUGAACCAGAUGAGCAGCCACCGGAAACAGAAGCAGAGAGAGCCGGAGUCCUGGGAAUCUGGGGGAUGACAUGGAGCCCACUCAGCCUUGCCCAGCGCUGGGACUGAGAGUUUGAGAAGUCAUCCUGACUGGAAGACCUUCCCCAAGUCUAG